RNAcentral lists this long non-coding RNA (3451 nucleotides) under Mus musculus (house mouse). RNAcentral describes it as "long non-coding RNA chr5:3463562-3467013". Lineage: Eukaryota; Metazoa; Chordata; Mammalia; Rodentia; Muridae. The record is from RNAcentral.
AUGAAAUUUCAACAGUGCGGCUUGAGGGAAACCAUGCGCCUGUCUGUCAUUUUAGGACUUAAUUUACAAGGAUAAAGGUGCCCUGAGGCCACUUCAUUAAAGUUGUCUGAUGAUUAAAGAUACUGCUGGUGGGCUAUCAGAAUGCAUGACCUGGGUCUGGGGACACAACCCUGCUCCAUUCUCCAUCUCCUACCCUGGCUUCUCCUUCCUAACCCUGGAACCUUCCAUUCUGCCCUCAGCUACCUACCGUUACAUUUGUUAGGACAGGCAUGUAUUUAAUGCCUGCUGUGUACAUCACAUCACAAGAGCCAGGAUUGUUUGUGUUCGGGAUUGGAUGAGGCAAGGUGAGGUUCACAAGAAUCAAGAGUGCAGUUGUGAGAUGGAGCCUCCAGAGAAACGUCUAAGCAUUAUCUAAAGGCCACAAGACAUGACACAGCAUGCAUGUUUGAAAAACUUCAAAGUUUCUGGGUAAGCAGAUUGUGGAGUUAAGCAGAGGACCCAGUUAGUUAGGGUUACUGUUGCUUUGAUGAAACACCAUGACUAAAAGCAACUUGGGGAGAAAAGGUUUUAUUUCACUCACAGUUCCAUUUGAUAGUUAAUCUUCAAAAGCAGUAAGGGUAGGAAUUCAAGGAGGGCAGGAACCUGGACACAAGAACGGCGCAGAAGCCAUGAAGGGGUGUUGCUUACUGGCUUGCUCCUCAUAGCUUGCUCAGUCUUCUUUUUUAUAGACUCCCAAACCACCUGCCCAGGGACGGCACCACCCACAGUGGGUCGGCUACCCCCAAUCACCAACUAAGAGAUGCCCUACCUGCUUGCCCAGAGCCUGGUCUAAUGGAGGUAUUUCCUCCAUUAAGGUUCUUGACUUUCACAUAACUCUAGUAGAUGACAUGUUGACCAAAAACUAGCCAGCACACGUGGGUAAGGGAGAAGUUUGGUUGUGAAGACAAAGGAUAUAAGAGCAGCAAGUGCCAGAUGAAAGGCAGUGCAUGCAACUUGAAUUUGAAGUUUUUUAUGGAAGAACUACAUGGUGAUGUCCAGGAAACAGCUAACACUGCAUGUGGUCCUCUGCAGAGUUCUGGGUACUGUAUGAGUUUGAGGCUAUCCAUGUGAGAUGGAGGAUUUAUAUAUCAUCCAAGUGAAAUGACUGUCUGGAAGAGCAGGCUCUUAAGGAAGAGAGUGCAGAGGGAGCUCUGAACCUGGCAUUCUGCACUUAAAACCAUGCAACACCUCCAGCCCCCAGGGGCCCUUCAGCCAAGUCAUUUGACUGUGUGCUUUCCCAAUUUGUGGCCACAAAGUCCAGCUGACUUGGAGCCUUUUACAGAGCGAGCGCAUGAUGAACUCCACUGAAACUCACUUGGAUCUAAGGUUUGCAUUCUGGAGUGAAACAAUUUUUGGGCAACCAAUACUAAACAUGAAUAAUAAACCAGGGCUUGGCCAGAGGGCAGAGGGACCCUCGUAGAAUUGCAGUUUCAGGUCAAGAGGGCCCCGCAUAAGCAAAGGACAUUUGGUGGGAAGUAAUCAUAUCUAAUGGGAACUGUGGAACCCAUGGGAGCCAGGAAGCUGUGGGGGCUGAAGAACACCCUGUCAGGGGGUAAUGGACAUAUCAGAACAGAGAUGAGAAGACGAUGACAGCCGCCACGUGGGCUCCCACCAUGAUCCAAGCAUGGAAGAGGACCCCGGGCACUCAGUGCUCCAAGCACUGAGACUCUCUCCUGUCAUGUUAAAACACUUCCUCUAGACUCUGCUUACAAAGGAAUGAAUGAGUGUGAGGUGGCCCUUUUGUAUUUGUCCCAAAAUAUUGGUUUGUUGUUGUUUUGGUUUGGUUUGGUUUGGUUUGGUUUGGUUUGGUUUUUUGCUAGUAUAUAAUGCUUUAAUCGUUUCCAUGUGGCAUUAUAAUGAGAAGACUGCCUGCAAGAACCCAAACUCCAAUUCUUUCUAAUACGCACAGUUCGAAUGUGUAUGUUAAAGAAUUGGAGUUUUUUUAGACCCUUUGUAAAAAAACAAUAGAAUUAUCCCUAGUUUUGAUUUUCAUUUCAUAAGCCAUACCAGCUUUCUGUAGGAAAACAUGCAUAUCAGGAGAUUUCUAUGUUGGCAGAAAGCAUAUAAACAGAGUUUGGGAAGAUUCUGUUGUCUGUCAAAGAUGAUGUCCAUGUUCCUCCUAACGUACUGUCUAUGUUCAGGGCUAAGGCAUGUUAAACUGGGCCCAGAAAUAGAGUCCGGAUAAUCAAAGUGAAGGACAAGCAAGGGAAGCGUAGGGUUUGUUUGGUCUUAAUUACUCUUGUCUGGCUGUUGAGUCUCUCAGAAUAUUAAUGGAGCACCUCACAGAUCACCCUGUCCAAACGCCCUCUAUGAACAGACUAGAGGAGGGGGAGGAAUUCUAUCCACAGUGCUUCGUAUACUAAUGUAUACUUGGGGUCCUGACAGAAACAUGAAGACAAGGUCAAUGAGCCAUUUCCAGAUAGAUCUGUUUACUGAAGCAGGAUUGACAGAGGUGCAGGGCUUGAGUCUUGAGCCAGUCAGACUGUUACCAAUCCCGGACUCUAAAGGAACAGACACGGGGAGGGUAUGUAAAUGGAAUGAUCAUGCUAUCUGAGGUAGACUUUGGCACUGUGAGACAACUUGGAGUUGAGGGCCUGAUCUCUGUUCUCCCUCUCUCUCAACUCCUGCCAAGACUUGUGGCCAAACUCAGUAAGGACCUGGAGGCACAUGGCAGACUGAUAGGGCUGCCUCCAAGGCAGAGAUCAUCUGGACAAAAGGGAGAUUCCCCCAGCCUGACAUUCACCAGGGCCUUUCAAACAUCUGUAGCCAACUAGUGUGAAGCCACUGGCAGUGGCAGUGUUGAUGCGAUCCAGGUGAAAGUGCUCAGAAAUACAAGAAGCCUAAGUAGAACAUUAAGUGGGAACAGUUGACUCUGGUGGAUUUUGAGUCAGCACUGGCCUUGGCUGGAUUUUAUCUUCUAGUGGUAUUGAACUGGUUAAAAAAAAAUGUAACUGGAGAUCAAAGCCCUUUAAACAGAUACAUUGACUUCUGUAAACAUCCUUGAACUGCCCCCUCCUUGGCCUCCCCCCUCCUGUUGCCAGAUCGGUCCAGCACCUCUAGAGGCUGUUAAUACAUGUAAUGAUUGUAACAAAUACGGUAUUUGCUUUGAUUCCAGCUGGCUCUAGCCAGACUCUGUCCAUAGUUCCUAUUGUUAUCUUUGCUUACUAGACAACUGUAUUGUUACCAUUGGUAGCAACCUUUGUCACAGAUUCUUCAGCCCUGGUUCUUACACAUUGCGCUCGGUGCUUCCCCUAACAGUGUUUGCAGAUUGAGACUUUAGAAGACUUUCAUAUUAGUAAUUAAUAACAUUCUGCUUUGCACACGCUUAAACUGGUUGUGCAUUGAACAGUUUUCCAUCAGAAAUUUCCACAGAAGUAUAAUUUCGAAGGAAAACAAACUUAUAUUUUGUUGC